AUUGAACGCUGGCGGCAUGCCUUACACAUGCAAGUCGAACGGCAGCACGGGGGCAACCCUGGUGGCGAGUGGCGAACGGGUGAGUAAUGCAUCGGAACGUGCCCCGUAGCGGGGGAUAACCAGUCGAAAGACUGGCUAAUACCGCAUACGCUCCACGGAGGAAAGCAGGGGAUCGCAAGACCUUGCACUAUGGGAGCGGCCGAUGCCCGAUUAGCUAGUUGGUGAGGUAAAGGCUCACCAAGGCGACGAUCGGUAGCUGGUUUGAGAGAACGACCAGCCACACUGGGACUGAGACACGGCCCAGACUCCUACGGGAGGCAGCAGUGGGGAAUUUUGGACAAUGGGCGCAAGCCUGAUCCAGCCAUGCCGCGUGCGGGAUGAAGGCCUCGG
This 390-nucleotide ribosomal RNA is filed under the name uncultured bacterium. RNAcentral's name for it is "bacterial SSU rRNA". It matches the Rfam family "Bacterial small subunit ribosomal RNA", at positions 29 to 420 of the family's 1533-position model. The record is from RNAcentral.